GGAGGGAUGGCUCAGUGGUUAAGAGCACUGGCUGUUCAUGCAGCAGACCUAGGUUCAGUUCCCAGUGCCCCCA
RNAcentral lists this transfer RNA (73 nucleotides) under Cricetulus griseus (Chinese hamster). It matches the Rfam family "tRNA". From Rfam's summary of the family: Transfer RNA (tRNA) molecules are approximately 80 nucleotides in length. Their secondary structure includes four short double-helical elements and three loops (D, anti-codon, and T loops). Lineage: Eukaryota; Metazoa; Chordata; Mammalia; Rodentia; Cricetidae. The record is from Rfam by way of RNAcentral.